AGCGAACGCUGGCGGCAGGCUUAACACAUGCAAGUCGAGCGGGCAUCCUUGUGGUUUCAUCGUCUGACGUUUGCGUAACGCGUGUGAACGUCCCCUUCGUUUCGUACUUACUCAUGGAAACUUUCUCUAAUACCCGAUACGUUCUAGAGCAUAAAGUUUUAUCUGCCGAAGUUUCGUCGCGCGUCUCAUUAUUUCGUUCGUUUGGUUAUGGCUCACCAAGGCGACGAUCAGUAGAUGGUCUGAGAGGAUGAUCAGCCACACUGGGACUGAGACACUGCCCAGAAUCCUACGGGAGGGAGCAGUGGGGAAUAUAGGAAAAUGGGGGAAAACAUGAAGAAGCAAUGCCGGGUGAGUGAUGAAGGCCUUAGGGAUGUAAAGCUCUUUUAAACGGGACGAUAAUGACGGUACCGGAGGAAUAAGCCCCGGCUAACUUCGUG
RNAcentral lists this ribosomal RNA (437 nucleotides) under uncultured bacterium. RNAcentral describes it as "partial 16S ribosomal RNA". It matches the Rfam family "Bacterial small subunit ribosomal RNA", at positions 29 to 507 of the family's 1533-position model. The record is from RNAcentral.